GACGAACGCUGGCGGCGUGCUUAACACAUGCAAGUCGAACGGAAAGGCCCUUCGGGGUGCUCGAGUGGCGAACGGGUGAGUAACACGUGGGUGAUCUGCCCUGCACUUUGGGAUAAGCCUGGGAAACUGGGUCUAAUACCGAAUAGGACCAUUGCCUUCAUGGGUGGUGGUGGAAAGCUUUUGCGGUGUGGGAUGGGCCCGCGGCCUAUCAGCUUGUUGGUGGGGUAAUGGCCUACCAAGGCGACGACGGGUAGCCGGCCUGAGAGGGUGACCGGCCACACUGGGACUGAGAUACGGCCCAGACUCCUACGGGAGGCAGCAGUGGGGAAUAUUGCACAAUGGGCGCAAGCCUGAUGCAGCGACGCCGCGUGGGGGAUGACGGCCUUCGGGUUGUAAACCUCUUUCAGCACAGACGAAGCGCAAGUGACGGUAUGUGCAGAAGAAGGACCGGCCAACUACGUGCCAGCAGCCGCGGUAAUACGUAGGGUCCGAGCGUUGUCCGGAAUUACUGGGCGUAAAGAGCUCGUAGGUGGUUUGUCGCGUUGUUCGUGAAAACUCACAGCUUAACUGUGGGCGUGCGGGCGAUACGGGCAGACUUGAGUACUGCAGGGGAGACUGGAAUUCCUGGUGUAGCGGUGGAAUGCGCAGAUAUCAGGAGGAACACCGGUGGCGAAGGCGGGUCUCUGGGCAGUAACUGACGCUGAGGAGCGAAAGCGUGGGGAGCGAAACAGGAUUAGAUACCCUGGUAGUCCACGCCCGUAAACGGUGGGUACUAGGUGUGGGUUUCCUUCCUUGGGAUCCGUGCCGUAGCUAACGCAUUAAGUACCCCCGCCUGGGGAGUACGGCCGCAAGGCUAAAACUCAAAGAAAUUGACGGGGGCCCGCACAAGCGGCGGAGCAUGUGGAUUAAUUCGAUGCAACGCGAAGAACCUUACCUGGGUUUGACAUGCACAGGACGCCGGCAGAGAUGUCGGUUCCCUUGUGGCCUGUGUGCAGGUGGUGCAUGGCUGUCGUCAGCUCGUGUCGUGAGAUGUUGGGUUAAGUCCCGCAACGAGCGCAACCCUUGUCUCAUGUUGCCAGCACGUUAUGGUGGGGACUCGUGAGAGACUGCCGGGGUCAACUCGGAGGAAGGUGGGGAUGACGUCAAGUCAUCAUGCCCCUUAUGUCCAGGGCUUCACACAUGCUACAAUGGCCGGUACAAAGGGCUGCGAUGCCGUGAGGUGGAGCGAAUCCUUGAAAGCCGGUCUCAGUUCGGAUCGGGGUCUGCAACUCGACCCCGUGAAGUCGGAGUCGCUAGUAAUCGCAGAUCAGCAACGCUGCGGUGAAUACGUUCCCGGGCCUUGUACA
Molecule: ribosomal RNA, 1346 nt
Filed under: uncultured bacterium
Lineage: Bacteria
Description: bacterial SSU rRNA
Rfam family: Bacterial small subunit ribosomal RNA
Source: RNAcentral